AACGAACGCUGGCGGCAGGCCUAACACAUGCAAGUCGAGCGAGGACUUCGGUUCUAGCGGCGGACGGGUGAGUAACGCGUGGGAAUGUGCCCUUCUCUACGGAAUAGCCCUGGGAAACUGAGAGUAAUACCGUAUACGCCCUAUUGGGGAAAGAUUUAUCGGAGAAGGAUCAGCCCGCGUUGGAUUAGGUAGUUGGUGGGGUAAUGGCCUACCAAGCCGACGAUCCAUAGCUGGUUUGAGAGGAUGAUCAGCCACACUGGGACUGAGACACGGCCCAGACUCCUACGGGAGGCAGCAGUGGGGAAUCUUAGACAAUGGGGGCAACCCUGAUCUAGCCAUGCCGCGUGAGUGAUGAAGGCCUUAGGGUUGUAAAGCUCUUUCAGCUGGGAAGAUAAUGACGGUACCAGCAGAAGAAGCCCCGGCUAACUCCGUG
RNAcentral lists this ribosomal RNA (433 nucleotides) under uncultured bacterium. Its description in RNAcentral is "partial 16S ribosomal RNA". It matches the Rfam family "Bacterial small subunit ribosomal RNA", at positions 29 to 507 of the family's 1533-position model. The record is from RNAcentral.